RNAcentral lists this ribosomal RNA (924 nucleotides) under uncultured bacterium. RNAcentral describes it as "bacterial SSU rRNA". It matches the Rfam family "Bacterial small subunit ribosomal RNA", at positions 1 to 916 of the family's 1533-position model. The record is from RNAcentral. RNAcentral also lists the same sequence under 1 other name.
GGAUCCAGACUUUGAUUAUGGCUCAGGAUGAACGCUAGCUACAGGCUUAACACAUGCAAGUCGAGGGGAAACGAUAUUGGAAGCUUGCUUCCGAUAGGCGUCGACCGGCGCACGGGUGAGUAACGCGUAUCCAACCUGCCCAUCACUUGGGAAUAACCUUGCGAAAGUAAGACUAAUACCCAAUGACAUUUAUAGAAGGCAUCCGAAAUGAAUUAAAGAUUUAUCGGUGAUGGAUGGGGAUGCGUCUGAUUAGCUUGUUGGCGGGGUAACGGCCCACCAAGGCGACGAUCAGUAGGGGUUCUGAGAGGAAGGUCCCCCACAUUGGAACUGAGACACGGUCCAAACUCCUACGGGAGGCAGCAGUGAGGAAUAUUGGUCAAUGGGCGAGAGCCUGAACCAGCCAAGUAGCGUGCAGGAUGACGGCCCUAUGGGUUGUAAACUGCUUUUAUAGGGGAAUAAAGUGAGCCACGUGUGGUUUUUUGCAUGUACCCUAUGAAUAAGGACCGGCUAAUUCCGUGCCAGCAGCCGCGGUAAUACGGAAGGUCCGGGCGUUAUCCGGAUUUAUUGGGUUUAAAGGGAGCGUAGGCCGGAGAUUAAGCGUGUUGUGAAAUGUAGAUGCUCAACAUCUGAACUGCAGCGCGAACUGGUUUCCUUGAGUACGCAUAAAGUGGGCGGAAUUCGUGGUGUAGCGGUGAAAUGCUUAGAUAUCACGAAGAACUCCGAUUGCGAAGGCAGCUCACUGGGGCGCAACUGACGCUGAAGCUCGAAAGCGCGGGUAUCGAACAGGAUUAGAUACCCUGGUAGUCCGCGCGGUAAACGAUGGAUGCCCGCUGUUGGGCCAACUGGUUCAGCGGCCAAGCGAAAGCAUUAAGCAUCCCACCUGGGGAGUACGCCGGCAACGGUGCAACUCAAAGGAAUUGACGG